This 226-nucleotide ribosomal RNA is filed under the name uncultured bacterium. RNAcentral describes it as "partial 16S ribosomal RNA". It matches the Rfam family "Bacterial small subunit ribosomal RNA", at positions 118 to 341 of the family's 1533-position model. The record is from RNAcentral.
UGAGCAAUCUGCCCUUCACAUCGGAAUAACCAUUGGAAACGAUGGCUAAUACCGAAUAUGACUUCGGAUCGCAUGAUCUGAAGUGGAAAGCUCCGGCGGUGAAGGAUGAGCUCGCGGCCUAUCAGCUAGUUGGUGAGGUAAUAGCUCACCAAGGCAACGGACGGGUAGCCGGCCUGAGGAGGGUCGACCGGCCACACGUGGGACUGAGACACGGCCCAGACCUCCG